AAUAUUGGACAAUGGGGGCAACCCUGAUCCAGCCAUGCCGCGUGUGUGAAGAAGGUCUUCGGAUUGUAAAGCACUUUAAGUUGGGAGGAAGGGCUUUAGGCUAAUACCCUGAAGUUUUGACGUUACCAACAGAAUAAGCACCGGCUAACUAUGUGCCAGCAGCCGCGGUAAUACAGUGGGUGCAAGCGUUAAUUGGAUUUACUGGGCGUAAAGCGCGCGUAGGUGGCCAAUUAAGUCAAAUGUGAAAUCCCCGAGCUUAACCUGGGAACUGCUUUCAUAACUGCUGAGCUAGAGUACGGUAGAGGGUAGUGGAAUUUCCUGUGUAGCGGUGAAAUGCGUAGAUAUAGGAAGGAACACCAGUGGCGAAGGCGACUACCUGGACUGAUACUGACACUGAGGUGCGAAAGCGUGGGGAGCAAACAG
RNAcentral lists this ribosomal RNA (423 nucleotides) under uncultured bacterium. RNAcentral's name for it is "partial 16S ribosomal RNA". It matches the Rfam family "Bacterial small subunit ribosomal RNA", at positions 360 to 775 of the family's 1533-position model. The record is from RNAcentral.